This 551-nucleotide ribosomal RNA is filed under the name uncultured bacterium. Its description in RNAcentral is "bacterial SSU rRNA". It matches the Rfam family "Bacterial small subunit ribosomal RNA", at positions 355 to 896 of the family's 1533-position model. The record is from RNAcentral.
UGGGGAAUUGUUCGCAAUGGGCGCAAGCCUGGCGACGCAACGCCGCGUGGAGGAUGAAGAUCUUCGGGUCGUAAACUCCUUUCGAUCGAGACGAAUGGCUUCCGGGUGAACAGCCCGGGAGAAUGACGGUACCGAGAGAAGAAGCCCCGGCUAACUCCGUGCCAGCAGCCGCGGUAAUACGGGGGGGGCAAGCGUUGUUCGGAAUUACUGGGCGUAAAGGGCUCGUAGGCGGCCAACUAAGUCAUACGUGAAAUCCCUCGGCUUAACCGGGGAACUGCGUGUGAUACUGGAUGGCUUGAGAUUGGGAGAGGGAUGCGGAAUUCCAGGUGUAGCGGUGAAAUGCGUAGAUAUCUGGAGGAACACCGGUGGCGAAGGCGGCAUCCUGGACCAACACUGACGCUGAGGAGCGAAAGCCAGGGGAGCAAACGGGAUUAGAUACCCCGGUAGUCCUGGCCCUAAACGAUGAAUGCUUGGUGUGGCGGGUAUCGAUCCCUGCCGUGCCGAAGCUAACGCAUUAAGCAUUCCGCCUGGGGAGUACGGUCGCAAGGCUG